GACAGAGGGUGCAAGCGUUGUUCGGAAUCACUGGGCGUAAAGGGCGUGUAGGCGGUGAAGUGUGUCUGACGUGAAAUCCCUCGGCUUAACCGGGGAACUGCUUCCGAGACUGUACGACUAGAGAUCGGUAGAGGGCGGUGGAAUUUCCGGUGUAGCGGUGAAAUGCGCAGAUAUCAGGAAGAACACCCGUGGCGAAGGCGGCUCUCUGGGACGGUACUGACGCUGAGACGCAAAAGCGUGGGGAGCGAACAGG
This 253-nucleotide ribosomal RNA is filed under the name uncultured bacterium. RNAcentral describes it as "partial 16S ribosomal RNA". It matches the Rfam family "Bacterial small subunit ribosomal RNA", at positions 524 to 776 of the family's 1533-position model. The record is from RNAcentral.